GAAACCGCGAAUGGCUCAUUAAAUCAGUUAUGGUUCCUUAGAUCGUACUAUUUACUUGGAUAACUGUGGUAAUUCUAGAGCUAAUACAUGCAACAAAGCUCCAACUUACGAAGGAGCGCUUUUAUUAGAUCAAAAAUCAACCGACUUCGGUCGUGUCUUUUGGUGACUCUGGAUAAUAUUUGCUGAUCGCAUAGCCUUGCGCUAGCGACGUAUCUUUCAAAUGUCUGCCCUAUCAACUUUCGAUGGUAGGUGAUAUGCCUACCAUGGUUGCAACGGGUAACGGGGAAUCAGGGUUCGAUUCCGGAGAGGGAGCCUGAGAAAUGGCUACCAUUUCUAAGGAAGGCAGCAGGCGCGAAAAUUACCCAUUCCCAGCACGGGGAGGUAGUGACGAAAAAUAACAACUCCGGGCAUUUUAUGUUUCGGUGAUUGGAAUGAGUACAUUCUAAUUCCUUUAACAAGGAUCUAUUGGAGGGCAAGUCUGGUGCCAGCAGCCGCGGUAAUUCCAGCUCCAAUAGCGUAUAUUAACGUUGUUGCAGUUAAAAAGCUCGUAGUUGGAUCUCGGGCCUGACGCUAUGGUAUGCUUUUUAAGUUUUGCCUUAGCUCAGCCUUUACGCCGGUCUUGACUUUGUUGUCCUUUAUUGGGUGGCAUAGUUAUCCGGACCUUUUACUUUGAACAAAUUAGAGUGCUCAAAGCAGGCUUUUGCCUGAAUAUUUCUGCAUGGAAUAAUAGAAUAGGACCUCGUGUCCGUUUGUUGGUUUUCGGACCCGAAGUAAUGAUUAAGAGGGACAAACGGGGGCAUUUGUA
This 805-nucleotide ribosomal RNA is filed under the name Draculiciteria tesselata. RNAcentral's name for it is "SSU rRNA". It matches the Rfam family "Eukaryotic small subunit ribosomal RNA", at positions 83 to 896 of the family's 1831-position model. Lineage: Eukaryota; Metazoa; Gastrotricha; Chaetonotida; Xenotrichulidae. The record is from RNAcentral.